GGUGGCUCAGUGGUAGAGCUCUUGCCUUGCAUGCAUGAGGCCCUGGGUUCAAUUCCUCAGCACCA
Dipodomys ordii (Ord's kangaroo rat) is the source of this 65-nucleotide non-coding RNA. NCBI's taxonomy places the organism in Eukaryota, Metazoa, Chordata, Mammalia, Rodentia, Heteromyidae. The record is from Rfam.